RNAcentral lists this long non-coding RNA (257 nucleotides) under Elaeis guineensis (African oil palm). RNAcentral describes it as "long non-coding RNA (EGUI_LNC013225)". The record is from RNAcentral. Lineage: Eukaryota; Viridiplantae; Streptophyta; Magnoliopsida; Arecales; Arecaceae.
AAGCGUGACAGAAGCAAGCUAAUUUUUCAUUAAUUCAAAUAUUUGCAAAAGGUGGGUGCCUCGAGCACCGCUUUACAAAAAAAAAACAAGAAGAAAAGAGAGAAAGAUUUCUUUUACAAGAAAAAGGAUGGCAUUCUAAGUGCCAUAUUAUACACAAAGACAAGAUCAUGCCAGUCUAGAAGAUCAUGCCGGUCCAAAAGCAGAUCCCCGUUAGCCGACAAACCCAGUUCGGAGCUCUCAUCAUCAUAAGUGACAGC